Non-coding RNA from Pelobates cultripes (western spadefoot toad), 232 nucleotides. The record is from the annotation of a GenBank genome assembly. Lineage: Eukaryota; Metazoa; Chordata; Amphibia; Anura; Pelobatidae.
CUCCGUUGAAGGAUGCUCCUAGCGCUUCCUGAGGACUCCAAGCACUCUGGCAGACACCACAAUCACCGAACCGGAGAAACAAAUAAAUUCUCCCAAGCAUGUGAAUGCUGUAGACAGUUGAAUAGGAACAAUACGAAUAGGUUUACUCUCCUAGCAGUCAAACUGGAACAGCAUACAAUAAAUCCUUCCCCCAAUAAUGAGACGACACUUCACUUUGAGGGUUAAAACAGGA